GAUGAAGAACGCAGCGAAAUGCGAUAAGUAAUGUGAAUUGCAGAAUUUAGUGAAUCAUCGAAUCUUUGAACGCAUAUUGCGCCUUCUGGUAUUCCGGAGGGCAUGCUUGUUUGAGUAUCAGUAACAACCUCAACUCUUCUUCAUUGCGGAGAAAGAGUUGGAUUUGAGCAUUUCCACAAGUUCGUCUUGGAGGAUUGCUUGAAAUAUGAGGUUCGGCCGGCAGUUGCCUGGGCUACAAGCAUUUCAUACUUAAUCCCGUCAAACGGAUUAUAUCCUUUGCUGCAGCCAACAUACAGGGUAACUUUGCCAGUGUUCCGACUGAUGCAGGAAAGUUGAGAACAGCUUUUUGCUUUCUCUUCUAAACUCGAUCUCAAAUCAAGUAAGACUACCCGCUGAACUUAAGCAUAUCAAUAAGCGGAGGA
Molecule: unclassified non-coding RNA, 422 nt
Filed under: soil metagenome
Description: partial contains 5.8S ribosomal RNA, internal transcribed spacer 2, and large subunit ribosomal RNA
Rfam family: 5.8S ribosomal RNA (bases 1-120)
Source: RNAcentral